UACGGAGGGGGUUAGCGUUGUUCGGAAUUACUGGGCGUAAAGCGCACGUAGGCGGAUCGGAAAGUAAGAGGUGAAAUCCCAGGGCUCAACCCUGGAACUGCCUUUUAAACUCCUGGUCUAGAGAUCGAGAGAGGUGAGUGGAAUUCCAGUGUAGAGGUGAAAUUCGUAGAUAUUGGAGGAACACCAGUGGCGAAGGCGGCUCACUGGCUCGAUACUGACGCUGAGGUGCGAAAGCGUGGGGAGCAAACAG
Molecule: ribosomal RNA, 250 nt
Filed under: uncultured bacterium
Lineage: Bacteria
Description: partial 16S ribosomal RNA
Rfam family: Bacterial small subunit ribosomal RNA
Source: RNAcentral